AGGAGGAAGCCCCGGCUAACUACGUGCCAGCAGCCGCGGUAAUACGUAGGGGGCUAGCGUUAUCCGGAUUUACUGGGCGUAACGGGUGCGUAGGCGGUCUUUCAAGUCAGGAGUGAAAGGCUACGGCCCAACCGUAGUAAGCUCUUGAAACUGGGAGACUUGAGUGCAGGAGAGGAGAGUGGAAUUCCUAGUGUAGCGGUGAAAUGCGUA
RNAcentral lists this ribosomal RNA (210 nucleotides) under Clostridioides difficile. Its description in RNAcentral is "partial 16S ribosomal RNA". It matches the Rfam family "Bacterial small subunit ribosomal RNA", at positions 482 to 692 of the family's 1533-position model. Lineage: Bacteria; Bacillati; Bacillota; Clostridia; Peptostreptococcales; Peptostreptococcaceae. The record is from RNAcentral.